Molecule: ribosomal RNA, 648 nt
Filed under: uncultured Pseudomonadota bacterium
Lineage: Bacteria; Pseudomonadati; Pseudomonadota
Description: bacterial SSU rRNA
Rfam family: Bacterial small subunit ribosomal RNA
Source: RNAcentral
CGGUAACAGGAAACAGCUUGCUGUUUCGCUGACGAGUGGCGGACGGGUGAGUAAUGUCUGGGAAACUGCCUGAUGGAGGGGGAUAACUACUGGAAACGGUAGCUAAUACCGCAUAACGUCGCAAGACCAAAGAGGGGGACCUUCGGGCCUCUUGCCAUCGGAUGUGCCCAGAUGGGAUUAGCUAGUAGGUGGGGUAACGGCUCACCUAGGCGACGAUCCCUAGCUGGUCUGAGAGGAUGACCAGCCACACUGGAACUGAGACACGGUCCAGACUCCUACGGGAGGCAGCAGUGGGGAAUAUUGCACAAUGGGCGCAAGCCUGAUGCAGCCAUGCCGCGUGUAUGAAGAAGGCCUUCGGGUUGUAAAGUACUUUCAGCGGGGAGGAAGGGAGUAAAGUUAAUACCUUUGCUCAUUGACGUUACCCGCAGAAGAAGCACCGGCUAACUCCGUGCCAGCAGCCGCGGUAAUACGGAGGGUGCAAGCGUUAAUCGGAAUUACUGGGCGUAAAGCGCACGCAGGCGGUUUGUUAAGUCAGAUGUGAAAUCCCCGGGCUCAACCUGGGAACUGCAUCUGAUACUGGCAAGCUUGAGUCUCGUAGAGGGGGGUAGAAUUCCAGGUGUAGCGGUGAAAUGCGUAGAGAUCUGGAGG